CCAAUGGUGACAGCGUAGAAAAGGUUGCAUUGAUCUUAAUGGCUGAUGUAAAAUUACAAGACAGUGGAAAAAAACUGCUCAUCAUGCUGAUCUGCACAAUGCUGGCUUCAUCGGAACUGUUAUUGAACAUAGGACUACAUAGUGUUAAAAGACUUUUCCCUUAAGGAAAUUUGUAGCUGUGGACUUUCUUUAGAUGACUCUUGUAUCGUAAAUAUUUUCCUGCUUCGGGUUUGACGAGAAAGCCAAUAACUUAAGCGAAAUCCGUGUUCAAUUUUUGAUAAAGCCGUUUGAUUUUUUUCCCUCUUAAACCUAUCGGGAAGUUCGCGAACACCGAAAGCUGUUGAGUCAAAUAAUUGAAAGAAAAGCCAAAAAAAUAAAAAUAUCAAGUACACUUAUCUGGCCGAUAGAUGGCAUGAGCUUUGCAUGUCUGUCUUCCGACCACUUGAUGGAUUAGUUUUGAUAAUGUAGUUAUUUAUUCACGAUCACAGAUAACAGGUCACUUCCAAAUGCGUUUCGUCCUUAUCUGAUUAUUGACGAUUGCAUUUGAAAAUUAAAAAAAUGGCAUUACAGCGAAGCGAAAUAAUUCCGGCUUUUGCUUGAGUGACCAGUAUCACCGACUUGUACGUGAGGAUUCCGUAACAUCCGUUCUUGACUACACGAAAUGAAAAGCAAAUUAAUAUUACAUUGCGAAACUGGCUAAUGUCUUGUUUGAAUAGAAAACAACAGGAAAUCUACGAUGCGUGUAAACUAGGAUGCGCCCCACCCUUUUUUUUUUUUUUUUUAAGAAAAAGGAAAAAAAAGUGAUAAAGUUCGCCAGUCCAACAGGAAUUUUGUGCCAUCUGUUGUGUCGCCAAACAUACCGAAGCCUUAUCAAAGAGUCAAAUAGAUUAAGUGCAUCAUAUGUAUACCAACUCGUGGAGUCAACCAGUUUUUUUUUUUUUCUGCAAAAAAGGAGAAACCUUUUAGGUUACUUUCACACAGUUCCAGACAUCCAGCGGCAUUCUCCUCCUCCCUCUUAUUAUUCAUUUUUUUUUCCCCCCCACUCAACAAAUAAAAACGUGUUUGCACGAAUUCCGGGUUCGGUUAUUGAUUGAUAACACGAACGAAUAUCCCGACUUUGUUGUGCUGAAUUUUUUUUGUUCAAAAUUCUUUCGUAAUUAGUUGUUGUUCGUGUUGUUGCUGUUGCUGUUGGUCCUUUUCAUUUGAAGGCAUCGCAACUGCUACAUCAGGAACUGCAUCAUUUUCCUAUUUUUAUCUCGGCGAGUAUCAUUUUCACGGCUGCUGCGCAUGGAUUCAAACGUCGUUAAAUUCGAUCCGUUGCCUAUCUUUUUCUAAAACAUUCAAAGAAAAUGAAAAACAUUUCUAGGAAAAGUGACGGGGCAUAUAUUAUGAGUGGCAGGUCUUAAUAAACCAGUGCACAGAAACAGGAGCUCGAGGCGUCCGUUUCUGUGGCAGCAGUGGCCAAAGAGUGUCGAUGAUUGCAUUCGAGCAGCUUUUCAUGGCAGCGCGAGAAACUCGCCAGUUUCUCUCUUUGAAAAUCAUCCAAGCACGAGCUUCUGUCUGCUUUGAUUAGAUCAUUUCAAAUGGGAAAUAUAGGCCAGAAAACAGUAGUACAUAUUUGGAAAAGCCGCACUUAAGGAUGACUGCUGUUUGGGCCUCGCUAUAUCUACGCGCAUAACAUUUACCGUCUGAAUGUAGUAUAGUUGAUACAUCAAAACUACGGCUGUCAGUCUAAUGGUCUUAAUCUCUUGCGCUGACGUAUAGGCUCCAUAAAUGUUCUCAGCUUGCGAAAUGCAGGUCGUUGCAUUUUUUUUUUUUUUUUUUUAUAACUUUGACACCGAAAAGAUUAUUACCUGGAUGAUUAUCUUAUCCGGAAUUUGUGUUUUCCUCGUUUCCUUUUCUGCACAAAGUAAGCUAAAAAUCUACUGCGUUUAUAGCAUUCAUUUUCUUCUAUUACCUAAAAAGAAAAAAAAAUUAAAAAAAACAGUAAAUAAAUAAUGGAUAAAAUGCUGCAGCGCGUAAAAUCUUUUGAAUUUUUAUUUCACAUUUUUAUUUGGUUGUGGGUCGACUGAAAACAAUAAACAUGAGCUCUGUCAUCACGUAGCGGCUCACCGGGAGCGAUCGUGGCAAAUGAUGAUGACGGCCGUCAUCAUCAUCAUCCUGAUGCCUUCCUGAAGGAUGGAGAUGCAUAUGGACCAUCGUCGAGUUCGUCAUCAUUUUCAUUUAUUUAUUUUUAAUUUAUUUUUUCAUUUUUUUUUUUUUCGUUUGUAUGUUUUUAAUUCUUUUAAUUCUCCCGCCAUUCCCGUACUUCGUUUGGUAUAGAAACGCAAAAAGCUCCCGCUGUUGCAUGACCUCAUCUUCUUCUGGCUGGGGGCGCGGCCUGUUCCAUUCGUUCCGUCAUUACGCACGUCCAGCAAUAAGUAAAAGGAGAAAUAUGACGGUACUAAGCGUUCCAAGUAGCGCACGCUUUUUGUUGAUUAAAAACAAAACGGGAAAGAAGAAAUGAAAGAAAACCUUUCAAGUAGACGCACGGCGAUGAACGAAUGCGGCAAAAAUCGGGCAAAACUGGAAAUGGCAGUCAGCAGUCGGUAGUGGCUGCGCUGCUUCGUGCAUUAAAGGGACGUCAGUUGCAUUGAGAGAAACGGAUAGAAACGAGAUAGGACAAGUCAAGCGCCAGAGACAAACAGACUUUUUUAAUCAGUCAAAGGAAAUCCAUGUUUGCCAAUCAUUUCCUUUGCGUUUUGCUCUCUGGCCGCGUCACUCUUUUCGAGCGACAAGUGGAAAAACAGGUCCAAAAAGAUAAAUGCAUUUUUUAACAAUCAAAGCCAGUUUCACGUUUCGAAUGGCAUUAGGCAAAACUACGGUGAAUUUUAGAUUUCUUCAUCCGCAAAGGGGACGCGGUCAGACCUUUUGCCCUUGACCACUAAUAUAUGCUGCCCGAAAGUUUAACGAGAGAAUAAUACCAAAUAUGUUGCUCAGCACAAGGCGCGCGUACCAAUAAAAAUGCGAAUCGGAAUUUCUAUUUGACGCAUCUAUAUAUUUUUGUUGUAUUCUCUUUUUAUAGGAAUCCCCAGAAAUAUAUUGUAUAAAAAGAUA
This 3096-nucleotide long non-coding RNA is filed under the name Daphnia magna. RNAcentral's name for it is "uncharacterized LOC116929651". Lineage: Eukaryota; Metazoa; Arthropoda; Branchiopoda; Diplostraca; Daphniidae. The record is from RNAcentral.